AACACGGGCUUCUGUCAUGAGUAGCACAUGUAGGGCAGCUUGAUUGUUCUAUGUGCAGAAUCAACAUCAAAAGAUUUGGGAAGUGUAACUUUUUGGUAUCUAGGCAGCUGUUGAUUGUUGAUAUUGUGCCUGU
This is a small nuclear RNA of Phyllostomus hastatus (greater spear-nosed bat), 133 nucleotides long. RefSeq annotates it as U11 spliceosomal RNA. The transcript has a single exon. The record is from RefSeq and is a predicted model, not a curated record. Lineage: Eukaryota; Metazoa; Chordata; Mammalia; Chiroptera; Phyllostomidae.